AAUGGAAAGGAAAAGAAAGAAGAGUGAAGAAGGUGAAAUUGAGGAAGCGAGCUUCGAUGUUUCGGGUUUGAAUUAUGAUUCUGAUGAGCACAAUGGAGAUGGUAAGAUUGAAGAGAGUGUGAAGAAUAAGCAAUUCGAAUGCCAAUAGCACCGUCACUGGUGGAGGUGGUGGUGAUCAAAAGGGGAAGAAGAAGGGGAUGCCGGCAAAGAAUUUGAUGGCUGAGAGAAGGAGAAGGAAGAGGCUUAAUGAUAGACUCUACAUGCUUAGAUCUGUUGUCCCCAAGAUUAGCAAGAUGGAUAGAGCUUCAAUACUUGGGGAUGCCAUUGAUUAUUUAAAGGAGCUUCUGCAAAGGAUCAAUGAUCUUCAUAAUGAAUUGGAGUCAACCCCACCUGGUCCUUUGUUGCCUCAAUCUACAAGUAUUCAUCCGGUGACUCCGACACCUCCCGC
RNAcentral lists this unclassified non-coding RNA (448 nucleotides) under Hevea brasiliensis (rubber tree). Lineage: Eukaryota; Viridiplantae; Streptophyta; Magnoliopsida; Malpighiales; Euphorbiaceae. The record is from RNAcentral.